This 512-nucleotide small RNA is filed under the name Malus domestica (apple). Its description in RNAcentral is "sRNA MD07G0069100". The record is from RNAcentral. Lineage: Eukaryota; Viridiplantae; Streptophyta; Magnoliopsida; Rosales; Rosaceae.
AUAGAUCUAACAAUCCCUACAUUGUCAGAGUGUUUUUUGCUCCAUUAAAGUAUGUGGAGACGGUCGAUAGUCGGUGGGGGGCAUCCCACCUCAUACUUUCAGAUGUUCCACUUAACCCUUGGGUGAGCAGGCAAGCUAUUGGCUGUGCGUUCUAACUUCUAAGCAGGCGAAAAGAAGAUGGUCCAUUUGCAUAUUGGCAGCAGCCAAUUCACCUGAAAAGAGAGGUAAUAACAGUUGCUUCGAGAAAAAAACAAAUUGCAAAACCACGGUUUAAAUCGAACAAUUACCGUGGUUACCGAAAUUUUUAAGUGGAGACCCUCGAGGCAAAUGACAACUAUAAUCCCUCCUUCAAGAGUCCAGCAUCGAGGCAGAACAUAAAUAUGAAAUCCGAAAAGGUGGUGUCAUCUGGAAAGAACACAUGAAGACGUCAACAACAAAGAGGACUUAGAAUCGAGGCGUACAAUCCCGGCGUCGAGGCAUUCCCGCAUCAGUAUCUUCGAGUCUUCUUGGUG